UCUCCCCCAGGGUUGAGCAACCAAAACUCGUCUCUGGAGGUCUUAGCAGCUUAAUAACCUUUUCAGCAGCAUUGAUUUGUUUUUCCCCAAGGUUUUCAUCAAGUAAUAAAUUCCUGCAAUUUCAAGAUUCUGGAGUCACAAUGUAGAAGAAAGUAUAAUUUCGGGUCUCAUGGCCAGCUCGCCCAUUUUUUUGACAAAAAAGAGCACCAAGAAGGUGCAAGAUGUGCAGUACUUUUCGGCUCCUUAUGAACGCAAGGAUCUGAGAAAAGCUAGCAUGAACUCCAUGCCAUGUUCAUUUAAAAGAUUACACAAGAAUUCCAAUAAUACAAGGACUUAUACUUCAGUCGUGUAUAUGUAUAGUUUUUCCUUCAGUACUCUUAUUUCGUUCCAACCAUAGUAAAUAAAAAACGAAGACAACCAGCUCAUGUAUUUCAUUGGACGAUAUUGUCCAAGACAGAAACUUUAUACAUCAGUGAAGUUUAAGUUAAAUUGCUCCA
This is a long non-coding RNA of Capsicum annuum, 497 nucleotides long. RefSeq lists it as uncharacterized. The transcript has 2 exons. Lineage: Eukaryota; Viridiplantae; Streptophyta; Magnoliopsida; Solanales; Solanaceae. The record is from RefSeq and is a predicted model, not a curated record.